UGGGGAAUAUUGGACAAUGGGCGGAAGCCUGAUCCAGCAAUACCGCGUGUGUGAAGAAGGCCUGAGGGUUGUAAAGCACUUUCAAUGAGGAGGAACACCUAUCGGUUAAUACCCGUUAGCAUGACAUUACUCAUAGAAGAAGCACCGGCUAACUCCGUGCCAGCAGCCGCGGUAAUACGGAGGGUGCGAGCGUUAAUCGGAAUUACUGGGCGUAAAGCGUGCGUAGGCGGUUCGUUAAGUCAGAUGUGAAAGCCCCGGGCUUAACCUGGGAACUGCAUUUGAAACUGGCGGACUAGAGUUGAGUAGAGGUAAGUGGAAUUUCAGGUGUAGCGGUGAAAUGCGUAGAUAUCUGAAGGAACACCAGUGGCGAAGGCGACUUACUGGACUCAAACUGACGCUGAGGUACGAAAGCGUGGGUAGCAAACAGG
This 428-nucleotide ribosomal RNA is filed under the name uncultured bacterium. Its description in RNAcentral is "bacterial SSU rRNA". It matches the Rfam family "Bacterial small subunit ribosomal RNA", at positions 355 to 776 of the family's 1533-position model. The record is from RNAcentral.